CUUUUCUUUUCCUUUGCUUUUUGUUUUCUCUUCUUUCUUCUAUCCUUCUCACCCCGAUAGAAACAAGAAAGAAACCAUUUAUUUCUUCUCUCUUCUCCUUCGUCUCACAAAUUUGAGUACCCUUGAACCCGAUUGCUCAGAGAUGAACCCCAACUUUCCUCAAAUCUAUACCAGAUUAUUUCUUCAAAUCUUUCCAUAAAUCAAUACUAGAAUAAAUCAGAGGUUUUAAGUAACAUAAAUCAGAUCUAUUUUGCGUGAAAAACCCUUAAAUCGAGCACAAAUUAAACGUAAUCUUAUUACAAGAAAAAUCAACACCCAUUUCACAGAUUUAGAGUAACCUAAGAUCAGCAGAAGAUUCAGCAGAAUAUUCAAGUACACCGUGAGAGUUGUGUGGAACGAAUGAUGGCAGGGAAGUCAUUAGGAGCUGAUACAGUUCACAGUAUUAGUCCACCAUUAUAGUCCACCAAGGAGAGGCUGUGGUGGAGGUGGUGGAUAUGGUGCAAGGAAAUAGUCGAAUAUGAAUUGCAGGCCUAAAGACCUUCAUAUUCCAUUGAAAGAUCUGGACAAGUGAGGGAUGUAUAUUUGCCUAGAGAUUUUUACUCAGGGUGAGCUUUUACUUGUGUGAGUUUUCAGGUGUCAAAUAGUAUUUGAUUGCGCUAUGAUUGCGUCGGUGUUUACUUUUGAUCAACUUGUUAAUUGUCAAGGUGUGCGAUAUUGAUAUAAUGGUUCUGUAUGCUUGUGCGAGAUUGAUUUGUAUAUGUGCCUGACACUGAUGUUGUAGUGUUUUCUCUCAGUGGGUAGACUUUGUCUAGAAAAAUUUGUCCCUUGACCAUAUUAAGAUUUAGUCAUUGUCGGUUAUUGGGUUAUCCACAUGUAUCUGUUCCUGCUAGUUAUGUUGUUGAACAUGGGGUAUAUCAUUUAGCUCUGUCAAUAAAGUUGAAAUAAAUAGUCGAAGACAUUCUGCUUUUGCUGUACAAGGUCAACUGAAUUUGGGAAUUCUGGAGUUUACGGUUAAUAAUUACGGUAAUGUGUAUGAAGAUUAAUAUAGAAAUGUGUAAAGGAUAAUUAUUAACUGGACUCCCUACUCACAGAAUAAACAACAAGUACAAAGAAAUAUUUAUUCUAAGUGAAGACAACAUUAACUACUUUGGUUUUUUAAAUUUCAGUUGCAGUGUUCCCUUAAGUUUGGAUAACCAGUUGAACGCGUUGUAUUAAUUGUCCGAGUUGAAUCUGAAAUAUAAUUGUUUUUGUUAUGAAGGAAGUGUAUGUUCACAAUCCUUGUUAGUAUUCUUUGUUAUUGGCUUUGAUUUUUAACUUUGGUCUGUGUUCUCUGUUUAUUGUGUUAUGCAAAUGACUGGAGAUGGUGGAGGUGGUAAUUUGAACUAGUAAGGAACAAGUAUUGGAGAUGGUGGUGAUGGUGACUUGUAGUUAAGUGAAGUGGGGGUACUGGAGAUUGUGAUGGUGGUGAUUUGUAAUAGUAUGGAUCAGGUUGUGGUGAUGAAUUGAAGCUGAAGUAGUAUGGGGUGAUUUAUGGAUAUGGUGGUGGAAAUGAAUUUUAGUAGCAUGGUGUUGGUGCUUCUUUUUUUUUUUCCAUUUUGUUAACAGUCUCCUGACUUUGUUCCCUGAUACACAUUGUUUUCAAUUCUCGCAAUUUUCUGUAGUUGUUAGUAACCUUCACGGUUUAAGUAUUCAAUGUUGGUUCUUAGAAUUCUAAAUUUAAAACGA
Molecule: long non-coding RNA, 1725 nt
Organism: Papaver somniferum (opium poppy)
Lineage: Eukaryota; Viridiplantae; Streptophyta; Magnoliopsida; Ranunculales; Papaveraceae
Exons: 4
Source: RefSeq, a predicted model, not a curated record